CUUCAUCACCAGCAGUGUAAAAAGAAGGAGGAAAAGCAUGAAGCCGUGCAAAAGAAAAAUUUAGAAAAUAAAUGCUUCCGAUGUGGAGGGAAGGGGCAUUGGUCACGUACCUGUCGUACGCCAAAGCACCUAGUUGAGUUGUAUCAAGCCUCCCUCAAAAGGGCCGAAAAGAAUGCGGAAGCUCAUUUCUGAAGAUAAUGUUGAACUCGUGCAUCUAGAUGUGGCAGAUUUCAUUGAACAACCUGAAGGGAAAAUAGAUCAUCUGAUCGGUGAUGGAUUUGUAAUAAAUUAGAUAUUUCAUACAUGUCGUUUGUAUUAGCUAAUGUGGUUAUGUUUCCAUAGUUAUGUAAAUGAACGUGUGUAAUGCUUUGUCUAAUCAUAAUAUCUACUUCGAUGUUUACUUUGUC
Lycium ferocissimum is the source of this 407-nucleotide long non-coding RNA. RefSeq lists it as uncharacterized. The record is from RefSeq and is a predicted model, not a curated record. The transcript has 2 exons. NCBI's taxonomy places the organism in Eukaryota, Viridiplantae, Streptophyta, Magnoliopsida, Solanales, Solanaceae.